GACGAACGCUGGCGGCGUGCUUAACACAUGCAAGUCGAACGAUGAAGCCGGAGCUUGCUCCGGUGGAUUAGUGGCGAACGGGUGAGUAACACGUGAGCAAUCUGCCCUUGACUCUGGGAUAAGUGCGGGGAACUGUAGCAAAUACCGGAUACGACACCUUGGGGCAUCCCAGGGUGUGGGAAGAAUUUCGGUCAAGGGUUAGCUCGCGGCCGAUCAGCUAGUUGGUGAGGUAAUGGCUCACCAAGGCGACGACGGGUAGCCGGCCUGAGAGGGUGACCGGCCACACUGGAACUGAGACACGGUCCAGACUCAUACGGGAGGCAGCAGUGGGGAAUAUUGCACAAUGGGCGAAAGCCUGAUGCAGCAACGCCGCGUGAGGGAUGAAGGCCUUCGGGUUGUAAACCUCUUUUAGCAGGGAAGAAGCGAAAGUGACGGUACCUGCAGAAAAAGCACCGGCUAACUACGUGCCAGCCGCCGCCGUAA
This 483-nucleotide ribosomal RNA is filed under the name uncultured bacterium. RNAcentral describes it as "partial 16S ribosomal RNA". It matches the Rfam family "Bacterial small subunit ribosomal RNA", at positions 28 to 523 of the family's 1533-position model. The record is from RNAcentral.